CUCUUUUCGUCUGAAACACCUCUAUCAUGUAACAAAAACAACACCUCCACCAUGAAACAAGAACAACAGCUACGACAAAUAUGAUACCUAACAACAGAUUAAAACCCAGCAACCAUUGCAAUUGCUUUCCAUUCCUUAUCCUACGGAACACCUGAGGCCAUUUCAUCUUCGUUUUGUCUGUCGUGCUCUCUCAUCCUUUAACACACCCCAACUGUGAACAGAGCUACAGUACAAUAACGGCUACGAAACAGAUUACGAUUUCAUUACUUCUAUCUCGAAAUUGUGUCUUUAGGUUCGUCAAGUCCAAAUCAUAUUCAUUCAAAUUUAUGAAUUUUGUCACCGAUUUUCUACUCUUAUUUGAUCUAUCUUUGAAUUUUAGUUUGUUUCCCAAUUUCAGUUGCCAUUUUUUUCGAUUCUUCAGGAUUUCGGCAAAGAACCCACUAAAAUUGUGAAUUUUUUUCUUAAAAUUUGUGAAGUUCAGUAGUUUGUUGAUUUUCCUGAGAGAAAACAUGUUCACUUAUUCUCAUAUAUUUGGUUGCUUUGGAUUGGCGAUUCUUUGUAUGUAUGUCGUAAGAGCGUAAUUGAGAAUAGUGAAGAUUGUGAUUCUAUUCAACCUAUUGUAUUUCUUAGUCCUCCAUACUUUUCAAAUUAUUCCAUAACUUUUUGUUUGUCUAGCCAACAUGAAAAUAUUCUAAGGUUAUGGUUUAGUCAUAGUAGGGAUUGUUUGAGACACGGUAUCUUCCGAGCCCAAAAUUGCCCGAACGCCACUUCCAUUUGGUUCCAACCAGAGCUCUUAAGCUACUGGUGAUUUUUAUUUAAAAGAGGUAAAGUUGAGAAAUCAAGUGAAUACUCCCUCCAUUUCAGAAUUAUUAGAGGUUGGUAUGUCUCUCUAUACCUCAAUCACUGACACUUGCUUGAUGGCUUGUACUUGAAAUGGUUUUGUAAAUGUUAGAAACUUUAGUAAUACAGCUCAAGAAAAGUACCGAGGAUCGGAAAGCUUAGGCAAGCAACAUACACCGGCACAUGCAUUGUAUUCUCUCACACAGGUAGUUGCAUGAUUGCAGGUACGAUGUUGCUAUGAAUAUAAACACUUGAGGACCUUUUUGACUUAUGACUUUGUGAAAAGGUGCAAGAAACUUCAACUGUUCUUGCAAGGAUCAACUGUCUUCAUUUCAUCGACAACCUAUGUUAACGGACAAAGACAAGGUACAAUCUUGGAAAAACCAUUUUCUAUCGGGGAUAGCCUAGCAAGGGAACAACUCACAUCUAAUACCCAUGCAAGAGCUCCACCCUUGAUAGAUAUUGAAGCUGAAAUGAAGUUGGAUUUGCAUUCAAAAGAGACAUUCCAAGAAAAUUUGAAUUGGGUUUUGAAAGUUGGUUUGUCAUUUUAACAGGGCGAGGACCUAAGGUUGGCAAGACACAUAUGUGCUCACUAAGGCCAUGGGAGAAAUGAUAAUCAACAGUAUGAGAGGGGAUAUACCUAUAGCCAUAAUACGUCCGAGUGUCAUUGAAAGUACUUACAUGGAACCUUUUCCAGGAUGGAUGGAAGGAAACAUGUGACUAGCUGCUGCUUCAAUUAUGCCUUACUAAUUGCAGCUCAUCAUGUUAUUUGGAGGAUGUGUUCCAUUUUUUUGGUCUCUAAAUAUAAGUGAAUUUCAGGAUGAUGGAUCCAAUAGUUUUAUACUAUGGUAAAGGCUUUUAGCUGACCCAAAAGGAGUUCUUGAUGUGGUGCGUCGAAGAGGUAUAGAAAUUAGCUGCUGGCAUCCAUUUGCUGAAACAGGGUCUAAUGCUUUAGCAAUUGUUGUGGUGAGAUAUUAUUAAGGUGAUUCUCGAGGUUGGCAGGCCUAUAAAUUCUCCACAAUUAUCAUUUUUGAAUCAUAAGAAUUGGCACACAGAGCACAAGUUAUAAAAGUUCUCUUUUUAUGUUUUUUGAUUGAAGCUAUACCUCUUUGUGGCGAUGGCCGGUAAGGAAGUCUUCGUUCCCCUGUUGUAGCCUUAGAAUCACAUAUGGAAACAGAAUGGCAGGCGCAUCGCGCGUGCGUGCUAUACUAAUCUCAAUUAAGAAAACCAAAAGGAAAAGAGCAUCUCAUAUAUUUCAUGAAGAGGCAUAUAAUCUGGAAUCUGGAAGAGGGGGAUCAAUUUAAAAUUCAACAGAACCUUACAAGUAUUCACAUAACUUCCACGGUGAUUCGCUAUUCUGUGGUAAUUUCCAACAGAAUAAAAUUCUACAAAAUAUCAAGUAGGUACAAUAUAAUUUAAAUCCAUAAUUUCCUUUACAUUAAUGUGCUGUUUUCAUUUUAUAGCAGAAGCCCAGUACUAUAUCACGUGACUUGAGAAUUUGUCAUUAAGGUUAGUUGCAUCCUGAAAUUAAAACAGCAUACUGGAGUAUUAAAAAUCUGCCGUCAAUGGUUCCUAAACUUACAGUAACAAAUUCAAUGUCUAUGUACAGCUAGCCUUGAUAAGCUCAUAUGAAACCAAAAAAUACAAGCAGUCUAAAUCCAAGUCUUGGCCACACUGUCUUGUAUCACUAGAAUCCUAUGCUAGUGGAUGAGCUUCCUGAAUAUAGGGCCCUUCUACGUAUAUGCAGGUCCAAAAUUCAAUGAGAAAAUGUAGUAGAAGUUACUAUGACCAACGAUCAAUACUUUUACCUGAGAAUGUAUGAUGUAGUCUUGAAGAACAAACUUGUCAUCUAGCAGCCUUUCGUUGUGGAACGAAAGACAUAUGACUGAUGGAUUACUGAUGGUUUCGAACUAACGUAUUACUGAUGAAUCAACUAAUCAAUUCCUCAUAUGAGAACUAAUCUGCUUUGGAAAGAUUUUAUAUGCCAAUCCUAAUUAAAGUAAGCUAUUAGUCAUUAAAGGGGAUUCUGGAUUCAUUAAACAGUUAUUGAUAAAUGGGUUUUGUAAGAUAAAUACUCUAUAAACAGUUAUGUGUUUAAUUUUUGAUUAAAAUUUUUGGAUUCAAAAGUCCCAGAUAAAAUCCCAGUGCAUAUAUUUCUCUAGAACUUUAAUUGCGUUUUAAAGUAACAGUCAAACAAUAAGUAAAACAUGAUCUCUUUAUUUAUU
Molecule: long non-coding RNA, 3065 nt
Organism: Papaver somniferum (opium poppy)
Lineage: Eukaryota; Viridiplantae; Streptophyta; Magnoliopsida; Ranunculales; Papaveraceae
Exons: 7
Source: RefSeq, a predicted model, not a curated record